Molecule: long non-coding RNA, 1377 nt
Organism: Apis cerana (Asiatic honeybee)
Lineage: Eukaryota; Metazoa; Arthropoda; Insecta; Hymenoptera; Apidae
Source: RefSeq, a predicted model, not a curated record
GUCUAAAAUUCAUUGUAAUGCUCUCCUUAAAUUUUUCUGCUUUAAAUAAUUUUCAAUGUUUGACAUAAAACAAUUUAAAUAUCAGUCUUUAAUAAGUCUUAAAUAAAUCAGUCUUAAAUAAAUUUCUCCAGUUACUCAAACUCUUGGAUUUGCUUUUCAAUAUAUAAGAUAUAGAACUGAAAAUUAAUUUUCCAAAAAUUACUCUAAAUGACGAAAAAGUCAUCCUUUAACACAUCGUGACUCGACGCAAAUUACCAAUCUUGAGACUUUUGUCUCCAGACCACGGAGAUAAAAAGAAACGAAAAAGACCUUCCGUUUGCAGAUUCUCAGCAGCCAUCGCAUUUUACAACAGAUCGAUAUGACGAUAUUUUAUUCUUUUAGAUACGGCAGCACUUUCCGCAACACUCUGACACGGCAUAAAUCUUGCCACGGAUGGCAUGUGCAUGACGCUUUCCGUUAUAACAAUAGAAUUAUAAAUGAAUAAAUUAUAAUCUGUUAUACAUUUUCAUAUAAAGUCAUUAUAGUUCAUUAUUCAUUCCCGUCAUUAUUUUAAGCUCAACUAGAAAGAGUCAUUGGGAAUAAUUUUCAUCUCAAACACAUAGAAGAACAGAUAAAGAUUCACUUUAACAGUCUUUUCUAAAAUGAAAAAGACCUUCAACCAAACUGGAAUCAAAUUUUACAGUUCAUCCUUAAUAAUAAAGAUCGGACCAAAUGCUAUUGUCGAAAAACUAAAAGCUCAUAACCUCAAUCCUCUAAGCUGACCAGCGCUUAGAUCCAGUAGAAUGAGAUCUACCGAAUUAAUUUUCCUGCAUUUCUUGCUCAGGCGUACGGACAUGCUUCUGGAAACUGUUUUGUGCCAAAAUACGUCAAAUGUGAGGAAGAUAUGAUUAAAGAUUGUGUGAAAUAUCCAGAUACUUCACCGUAAUGUGCAAACAGUGAGGAUGAACAGCUAACUUCUCAACCUGUCUCAGACUACAAAGAAUCGACAUGGAAAUCAUAUUGUAAUGCACUCUGGAAGGGACGAUCAGGAGGAAAUCCUCAUAAUUCAAUACCAGCUCUUAUCGAAACACUCCCCACUGUAUCUCCACUAGGCUUUUGGUCUUGAUCAAGAAAAUAUCAUCGAGGACCAACGACUUUUUUAGAGAAAGAUUUCUUAAAAAGACAGUUUUUCUAUCAAAAAUACUCUGUUUAAAACUAGUAUCUUGCAUUAACAUCUUCGACAAAAUCGAAGUAAUAGUGGAGGCUGUACAGCUCUUAUUUUCAUAGACAUCAUCUUCAAUCUCAAAUUACCCGGAAUCAUCACGACUUGAGAACGCAUGCUCAAUGCGCAAACUUCUAAAGUUUGAGAUGUUCCUGAGAAGCAACAAUAUCGAAAAA